CCGUCCAUCACUUCACGUUUGGACAUACCGGGGUACGGAGUCGCACCUAAGCAGAAUACAUGAUAGGCAUUAUAAAUUCCCUCUUUUACGAAGUUCAACGUUGAUAGAAUCAUAGACAACAAAACUUAUCGACAUCACAAACAUCAACGGAUCAGUAACGUCACAGUGACUAUCUCCCAGAGCAGCACUCCGAAAGCCCAGACGUCCGUCUUGGUGGUGUACUUCCGGUGGAACAGCGACUCAGGGGCCAUCCAGCGGAUAGGCAGGCGGAAAACUCAUCCCCUUGGCUACGUCCCGGGCGAACUUGGUGAGGUCACGUGAGGAGAGAGACUUGCUCCCGCCGUGCAGGUUCCCGUAUGGUUGGUGAGUGCGGCUGGUACGGAGGUUGGACAGGAGACUGCCUCCAGACACGAACUCCAGCAGG
This is a long non-coding RNA of Branchiostoma floridae (Florida lancelet), 424 nucleotides long. RefSeq lists it as uncharacterized. NCBI's taxonomy places the organism in Eukaryota, Metazoa, Chordata, Leptocardii, Amphioxiformes, Branchiostomatidae. The record is from RefSeq and is a predicted model, not a curated record. The transcript is spliced from 3 exons.